Cyprinus carpio carpio is the source of this 1617-nucleotide long non-coding RNA. NCBI's taxonomy places the organism in Eukaryota, Metazoa, Chordata, Actinopteri, Cypriniformes, Cyprinidae. The record is from Ensembl.
GCAUUCAACUAAAAUGCUAGCAAUCAAAAUGAAAGAUGCGUAACAGAAUCAGAGAGGAACAUUGCUUUUGAGAAACAUUUUAUGGCAAAGAGUUGUCAUUUCCUUUCAGUUUGGUUUAAAUGAUUGAGCAAUCAUAAAGCUUCUCAUAAAAAGGAUGGAAAACCUCUACAUGCCUUGUUUUUUUGUGUUUUUGAAUGUCUCAGACUUUAAACUUUAGCCGCAUUUAGCCAUAAAACUUGCUAACUAGCACAUUAUUAGGAAAGGUGAUUUGCAAAGUUUCAUAAAAAACCCUUAUACCCACUUCUUCUGUAGAUGAAGCUGCUGGAUCACGAAUGAUUCGCGUAAACAUAGAUACAUUUAGGCAGAUCGGGGAUUGGCCUUCCCUUCAAAAACGAAAGUAAGUUAAUCCUCUGCAUCUUCGGAAGGCUCAGAUGUCAGGAGUACAUCUUUUCAAUAAAAUUCCACAUAUUACCUUGUCUUAAACAUUUUUGAAACAACCUCCAUUAAAGUGCACGCAGCAUUGGAAAUUCAAUUCAUUGAGUUGCUUUGUUCAAGCAGUUCAUGUAAGUGAACCAAUUUACAUGAACUGAAUAUAUGUUGCAUUUGUAGCCAGUGUCAAUGUAAUUAGCUCCUUUUUAAAAGUUUGAAUGUAGUUUGAAAGUGUAGUCGAACUACUGUAAAUUACGAUUAGCAUGUAGCUUGGCAAGGUACAGUUUAAAGUGGUUUUCCCAACCCUGAUUCCUAACAAUCACAUACUGUACAAACAUAUCUAUGGGAAAAUCCUUGAUAGCACACAACCAUUGGGUCUGUAAAUAACUCUGUAAACACCCCUGUGUUUGCACAGAGCGCUGUAUUGACCUCAGAAUUACAGUGAUCACUUACAGAGGUCUGAGCAUUUAGAAGGCUGUGAGUGCUCAGCUCAGCAAGACAUAAUUAGACAUGAGGAUAAUAACCACCUUUUUGCCCCCUGCUGUACUCGACUCUUCUGGCCAUGAUCAGACCUCAACAGGAGCAAAUGGAAGAGCUACACUAGUUAAUGGACAGAGGAAAUGGUGCAAAUGUACGUUUUGCUGCUAGAGGUUGCUUAUUCAAGUUCGAUGACACGGUGGCGGAGUGUGGAAUAAUGGGAGUUAUUGUGUUCACCUCCAUUUUUGUUUUAUGAUAAUAUUUUUGGCGACAGAACCUGCAGCAAAUGAUAAUGAAUUUGUAUCAGUGCUCCUGGUCUUCAGUCAUAAAAGACGCCAUUAAACAAAUAUUAAAAAAACACUGUCUACUUUAAUUUGAAGAUUGAAUGUGAAAUUAUUGCAAUAUAAAAGUAUAUUUAAAAACUUUAAUGUUGGGUGGGAUUAAUUGUGAUUAAUUUCAGAAAAAAAAUUGUGAUUAAAGGGGUCAUAUGAUGUUGCUAAAAAGAACAUUAUUUUGUGUAUUUGGUGUAAUUAAAUGUGUUUAUGUGGUUUAAGGUUCAAAAAACACAUUAUUUUCCACAUAAUAUACAUUAUUGUUUCUCCUCUAUGCCCCGCCUUUCUGAAACGCGUCAAUAUUUACAAAGCUUAUCCUUCUGAAUAGCAAGGUGUGCUCUGAUUGGCCAAUUAUCCAGUGCGUUGUGAUUGGCCGAAU